This 1213-nucleotide ribosomal RNA is filed under the name metagenome. RNAcentral describes it as "bacterial SSU rRNA". It matches the Rfam family "Bacterial small subunit ribosomal RNA", at positions 8 to 1243 of the family's 1533-position model. The record is from RNAcentral.
AGAGUUUGAUCCUGGCUCAGGACGAACGCUGGCGGCGCGCCUAACACAUGCAAGUCGAACGAGAGAUGAGGAGCUUGCUCUUCAAAUCGAGUGGCGAACGGGUGAGUAACGCGUGAGGAACCUGCCUCAAAGAGGGGGACAACAGUUGGAAACGACUGCUAAUACCGCAUAAGCCCACGGCUCGGCAUCGAGCAGAGGGAAAAGGAGCAAUCCGCUUUGAGAUGGCCUCGCGUCCGAUUAGCUAGUUGGUGAGGUAACGGCCCACCAAGGCGACGAUCGGUAGCCGGACUGAGAGGUUGAACGGCCACAUUGGGACUGAGACACGGCCCAGACUCCUACGGGAGGCAGCAGUGGGGAAUAUUGCACAAUGGGGGAAACCCUGAUGCAGCGACGCCGCGUGGAGGAAGAAGGUCUUCGGAUUGUAAACUCCUGUUGUUGAGGAAGAUAAUGACGGUACUCAACAAGGAAGUGACGGCUAACUACGUGCCAGCAGCCGCGGUAAAACGUAGGUCACAAGCGUUGUCCGGAAUUACUGGGUGUAAAGGGAGCGCAGGCGGGAGAACAAGUUGGAAGUGAAAUCCAUGGGCUCAACCCAUGAACUGCUUUCAAAACUGUUUUUCUUGAGUAGUGCAGAGGUAGGCGGAAUUCCCGGUGUAGCGGUGGAAUGCGUAGAUAUCGGGAGGAACACCAGUGGCGAAGGCGGCCUACUGGGCACCAACUGACGCUGAGGCUCGAAAGUGUGGGUAGCAAACAGGAUUAGAUACCCUGGUAGUCCACACCGUAAACGAUGAUUACUAGGUGUUGGAGGAUUGACCCCUUCAGUGCCGCAGUUAACACAAUAAGUAAUCCACCUGGGGAGUACGACCGCAAGGUUGAAACUCAAAGGAAUUGACGGGGGCCCGCACAAGCAGUGGAGUAUGUGGUUUAAUUCGACGCAACGCGAAGAACCUUACCAAGUCUUGACAUCCCUUGACGAUGCUGGAAACAGCAUUUCUCUUCGGAGCAAGGAGACAGGUGGUGCAUGGUUGUCGUCAGCUCGUGUCGUGAGAUGUUGGGUUAAGUCCCGCAACGAGCGCAACCCUUAUGGUCAGUUACUACGCAAGAGGACUCUGGCCAGACUGCCGUUGACAAAACGGAGGAAGGUGGGGAUGACGUCAAAUCAUCAUGCCCUUUAUGACUUGGGCUACACACGUACUACAAUGGCGUUAAACAA